This is a small nuclear RNA of Psammomys obesus (fat sand rat), 103 nucleotides long. Lineage: Eukaryota; Metazoa; Chordata; Mammalia; Rodentia; Muridae. The record is from RefSeq and is a predicted model, not a curated record.
GUGCCUGCUUCAGCAGCACAUAUGCUAAUACUGGAUACCGAGAAGAUUAGCAUGGCCAUUGCAAAAGGAUGACACACAUUCAUGAAGCGUUUCAUUGGUUUUU